ACACAUGCAGUCGGGCGAUGAGGGGAGCUUGCUCCCUGAUUUAGCGGCGGACGGGUGAGUAAUGCGUAGGAAGCUGCCCGAUAGAGGGGGAUACCAGUUGGAAACGACUGUUAAUACCGCAUAAUGUCUACGGACCAAAGUGUGGGACCUUCGGGCCACAUGCUAUCGGAUGCGCCUACGUGGGAUUAGCUAGUUGGUGGGGUAAAGGCUCACCAAGGCGACGAUCCCUAGCUGGUUUGAGAGGAUGAUCAGCCACACUGGAACUGAGACACGGUCCAGACUCCUACGGGAGGCAGCAGUGGGGAAUAUUGGACAAUGGGCGCAAGCCUGAUCCAGCCAUGCCGCGUGUGUGAAGAAGGCCUUCGGGUUGUAAAGCACUUUCAGUGGGGAGGAAGGG
Molecule: ribosomal RNA, 397 nt
Filed under: uncultured bacterium
Lineage: Bacteria
Description: bacterial SSU rRNA
Rfam family: Bacterial small subunit ribosomal RNA
Source: RNAcentral